UUGGAGGGCAAGUCUGGUGCCAGCAGCCGCGGUAAUUCCAGCUCCAAUAGCGUAUAUUAAAGUUGUUGCAGUUAAAAAGCUCGUAGUUGAAUUUCGGGAUCAAUAUAUCGGUCGUGCCUUGGUACGUACUGGUAUCAUUGGUUUCUCCUUUCUGACGAACCAUGAUGUCAUUAAUUUGGUGUUAUGGGAAGUUAGGACUGUUACUUUGAAAAAAUUAGAGUGUUUAAAGCAGGCUUUAGCUUGAAUACAUUAGCAUGGAAUAAUGAAAUAGGACGUUCGAACCUAUUUUGUUGGUUUCUAGGAUCAACGUAAUGAUUAAUAGGGAUAGUUGGGGGCAUUAGUAUUCAAUUGCCAGAGGUGAAAUUCUUGGAUUUAUUGAAGACUAACUACUGCGAAAGCAUUUGCCAAGGAUGUUUUCAUUAAUCAAGAACGAAAGUUAGGGGAUCGAAGACGAUCAGAUACCGUCGUAGUCUUAACCAUAAACUAUGCCGACUAGGGAUCGGAUGAUGUUAAUUUUUUAAUGACUCAUUCGGCGCCUUACGGGAAAC
Molecule: ribosomal RNA, 548 nt
Filed under: uncultured Glomeromycotina
Lineage: Eukaryota; Fungi; Glomeromycota
Description: SSU rRNA
Rfam family: Eukaryotic small subunit ribosomal RNA
Source: RNAcentral